RNAcentral lists this ribosomal RNA (421 nucleotides) under uncultured bacterium. RNAcentral's name for it is "partial 16S ribosomal RNA". It matches the Rfam family "Bacterial small subunit ribosomal RNA", at positions 360 to 773 of the family's 1533-position model. The record is from RNAcentral.
AAUAUUGGACAAUGGGGGCAACCCUGAUCCAGCCAUGCCGCGUGUGUGAAGAAGGUCCUCGGAUUGUAAAGCACUUUAAGUUGGGAGGAAGGGCUUUAGGUUAAUACCCUGAAGUCUUGACGUUACCAACAGAAUAAGCACCGGCUAACUCUGUGCCAGCAGCCGCGGUAAUACAGAGGGUGCAAGCGGUAAUCGGAAUUACUGGGCGUAAAGCGCGCGUAGGUGGUUUAGUAAGGUAGGGAUAGAAUCCCCGGGCUUAACCUGGGAACUGCUUUCAUAACUGCUGAGCUAGAGUACGGUAGAGGGUGGUGGAAUUUCCUGUGUGGCGAUGAAAUGCGUAGAUAUAGGAAGGAACACCAGUGGCGAAGGCGACUACCUGGACUGAUACUGACACUGAGGUGCGAAAGCGUGGGGAGCAAAC